AGCCCAGGAGGAGGGGAGUCCAGCUCGAGUGCCACAGCCUCUCCUGGGUCUCAACAUAAAGCUCAGUUCAGAGGCAUCCAGCUUCAUCGAGGGAAACAGGAGGGUGGCGAAUUCAAAGCCUCAGAAAACUGAGAAUGAAGUCAAUCAGAUUCCAGAGAUUUGUGAAGGAAAAGACAGGCUUCUUAUGGGUCAUGGAACGGAUUCCUUGAAAGCUGCUGGAGACACAUGCUAAGGACGAGAAUGAAAGGAUUAUCCUGAGUCCAGGAGUGGGAACCAGUGAACAUGCUGGAACUCUUUUGAUUCAAAAUGACGUACCAACAUUUGACUGGACAUUUGUCAGGGAGUGUUUAAGCCCUGGCUGUACCAAGCCCCACCAAAGGGGUUGAUCUUCCUAAGAUGCUGGCUCUAAGACAUGCUAGAAAUGAAACCAUCCUGGAGAGUAAUGAUGCUGAGGACUCCUACUACAAAGCCCAUUUCAUGAAGGAGAAAAAUGAAGCCCCAAAAUGCAUGCUGCUGACAUCACUGAAGCAAAACCUUGUCCUCAGGGCUCUGGACUUCAAAUGAGUUUUGUCUAUUGACAUAAUGUAGUUUUCUGGGGAUGUUUGUUGAGAUUCUAGAUGUCUCAGUAUAUGGCCAGGGUUGUUGGUUGGCAGAAGGGCAGAGCAGACCAGCUGGGUUCCAAAAGAGGACAGAGUCAGUCUGAAGGCUAUAAACGCUAUAUAGCACUGGACAAGCUAAAAGAACCUAGCUAGGACAGCUAGUGAGUGAAUGAAGUGAGCACUGCCCUUGGGACUUCUGGUACGGAAUCUAUAUACAUUUUGUUGGGCUGGUUAGUGUUGCUAUU
This 844-nucleotide long non-coding RNA is filed under the name Monodelphis domestica (gray short-tailed opossum). RNAcentral describes it as "lncRNA (ENSMODG00000045215.1)". Lineage: Eukaryota; Metazoa; Chordata; Mammalia; Didelphimorphia; Didelphidae. The record is from RNAcentral.